GAUGAACGCUGGCGGCGUGCCUAAUACAUGCAAGUCGAGCGAACGGACGAGAAGCUUGCUUCUCUGAUGUUAGCGGCGGACGGGUGAGUAACACGUGGAUAACCUACCUAUAAGACUAGGAUAACUUCGGGAAACCGGAGCUAAUACCGGAUGAUAUUUUGAACCGCAUGGUUCAAAAGUGAAAGACGGUCUUGCUGUCACUUAUAGAUGGAUCCGCGCUGCAUUAGCUAGUUGGUAAGGUAACGGCUUACCAAGGCAACGAUGCAUAGCCGACCUGAGAGGGUGAUCGGCCACACUGGAACUGAGACACGGUCCAGACUCCUACGGGAGGCAGCAGUAGGGAAUCUUCCGCAAUGGGCGAAAGCCUGUCGGAGCAACGCCGCGUGAGUGAUGAAGGUCUUCGGAUCGUAAAACUCUGUUAUUAGGGAAGAACAUAUGUGUAAGUAACUGUGCACAUCUUGACGGUACCUAAUCAGAAAGCCACGGCUAACUACGUG
Molecule: ribosomal RNA, 497 nt
Filed under: uncultured bacterium
Lineage: Bacteria
Description: partial 16S ribosomal RNA
Rfam family: Bacterial small subunit ribosomal RNA
Source: RNAcentral